CAGCAGUUCUGCAAUGAGAAAGCUGAAAGACGGGGUCAGGAAGAUUCCUGCAGCUGCUGAGUUAGUACUUUUAAGAAAGUACUGGAUUCCCUCUCACAAUGGGACUUUGAUUUUUUUAAGAAAAAGGUUUCAUAAGUUUUCAAAUAACCUGGAGCAGUUGAGCAAACUUAAUGUGCAGCGUGGUCCCUGCUGGCUGGGUUUGAGGGGCUGGGUCUCUCUGAGUGGAUGCUGGUGAGGUGCAGAGGAAGAAGAAAAGGUGCCUGAGGGCCUGUGUGGAAGGCCUGUCACACAGCACAUCCUGGGAAAUCUGUCCAGGAAGCAGCCAGGCGGGCAUCAGCCAGGCGGGCAUCAGCAUCUUCACUGUGCAGAUGAGAAACUGAGGCCGCAGAGGUGAAGGGACAUGCCCAGGAUCACUAAGGUGAUCCCUAGAAACACAGCCAGUGGCCCGGAAGCUGCACUGUUUUGUGCACCGCAGGGAUGGGCACAGAUGGGGCUGCCUGCCCUCCUCCUGGAAGGAGGGAGAACCCAGUCUGGCCUGGAGUGGUCAAGAGCUAACUCUAGACUCAGCAAGACCUACUUCUCUCUCCUGCCCCUACUUCCUUGCUGCUGACCUGGGCAAGUCGCUGAAGCCUCUCCGUGCCUCAGUCUGCUCGUGCGUAAGAUGGGCACAGGGCACACUGCCUACUUGAUUGGGCUCAACCACGUGCAGUAAGUAGCUGGUGUCUGGCAAGAGCCCUCAGGAAACAGUAACCCCAUUAAUUCAAAUGCACGUGCCUGGAACAGGCUCUGGGGGGCCAGCCCGGGAGUCCCACUCCAUGAUGGCCACCCUGGGGCCUGGCAGGCUGGGCUGGCAUCCCAGGCCCACCGGAUACUGGCUGUGCACCCCGGCCAGGCCACACAUCUCUGAGCCUCACUUUCCCGUGUGUGAGAUGAGGCUAGAAGCUGCUUUCUCUUGCGUGUGUGGGGAUUGGCGGUGACAACACGGCCAGGAGCCCAGGCCCAGCCUACGCGAGCAGCCUCGCUCCAGGCCACACGCCCCACUCCUGACAGCUCUGUGCAGCGAGUUCGUGCGCGAGCGGGUGGCUGUCUGCCAGGCGAGGGGCGCGGGUGCCCAAGAGGGCUUCACUGCUUCUGGAAAGAUCACAAGGAAAAACCACCUCCGCGGCGGGACGCUACCCGCGGGCCGCUGCGGUCCCGCUCGCGGCCGGCAGGGGGCAGGAUGUCCCCGCGAGUCGCCCGUGUCUUCGGGUGUCCUCAGGUCACCCCGCACCGCUCGCAGCCUCCGCGCCUAGUUAAAGGGCGACGCACUCAUUUCUGCAAAGAAGGAGCCCAGCGGCCCCUCCCCGGGGAACUCUUUCCAUCAACUCGGGGCCUAAUAAUUUACAUUUAAUUUGUUAGCGGUUUAAUGUUUAAUUUUAAAAGCGAGAUGAUUCAUUACCAUAUUAAUAAAUAAUAACAUUUAUUAUUCUCCUAAUGAGUGUCCAAAAUACAGAAGCAAUUACAUGUUUUAUAUAUUUUCUCGUAAUUUGAGACACCAGAGCGUUAAUUACAGAGACUCACGCGUGGACCCCAUUCUGAUCCAGGGUCCUGAUCCUGCCUUUGUUUCGGUCUCUGAACCAGCCGCCCUCCGGGGCUUCUGCAAUUCCCUCAAUUAGAGGAGAGGAAGUCGUACGUGACGAAGCUGGGGCUCUCACAGAACCCCGGCGCCCCAGACCCAGGAGCUGCAAGACCUCAGCUCCCCGUGCCCACACUCGGAGACCCAGGCCCCUCCCAGUCCCCCGUCUCCUCUGUGCAGGGUUCUUCAGGAAGAAUCGGAAAGAGGCCCCCCGACCCACAACCAGCCUCGCAUUCCCUCCUCCCGCAGGGAUCCAUUGAGCUGGGGGGUGGGACUAUCCUCACUUCACAGAUGGGGAAACUGAGUCCUGGAGAGAGACGCUCCGGUGUCCUCAGCUGGUGAGGGGCAGAUCCGGGAGCCACGUCCCACGCAGUCGGUUGGCCCCAAGCUUGGUUCCUGCCUCAACCCCAGCGCAGGUUGCAGCAGGCCCGCGUAGGAGGGCGGCCUGGGUCUGGACAGAUCCACAGCCGGCCAACGCCCCUGGCUAGCUCUCUAUGGCUUUGCUUCUUCUCUUGACUUGCCAAGUUCUUCUUGUUCAUUGUAGAAAAUGUGGAAGGUGAGGCCGGGAGCGGUGGCUCACGCCUGUAAUCCUAGCACUUUGGGAGGCCGAGGCGGGCAGAUUGCCUGAGCUCAGGAGUUCGAGACCAGCCUGGGCAACAUGGUGAAACACGUCUCUACUAAAAAAAAAAAAAAAAAAAAAAAAAAAAUUUGCUGGGCGUGACGGCAGGCGCCUGUAGUCCCAGUGGGAGUUUGGGGAGGCUGAGGCAGGAGAAUCACUUGAACCCGGGAAGCAGAGAUUGCAGUGAGCCGAGAUCGUGCCACUGCACUCCAAUCUAGCGACAGAGCAAGACUCCGUCUCAAAAAAAAAAAAAAAAAAAAAAGUGGAAGGUGAAAAAAACACGGAGAGACAGCAAAGCUGGCAAUGACAUAGCUCCAAAAAUCCCACUUCUCAGAUAAGAUGCAGGCAGUAAGGGCCUGGAGUUUUAUGUAUCCUGAUGUUUGAAAGGGCUUGGACAGGGCACUUCCUCCCUCCAUAGCUCUUCUGUCCUUAGGAAUCCCUCCCUUCUGGAGGGGAAGGGUGGGGGUUUUCCUGUUUGGUCCCCAGGGAAGGAAGUUCAGAGACAGAGGCCCACUCAGGGCCACCCCCUGGCCUGCACCCCUGAAAUGCAAUUUGGAUAAUAUGGAAAAUUACUAGGAAGAAAAAACGCUAUAAUCCCCCCACCUAGAGAUAACCAGGCGUUCUGGUAUAUACCUAUUGAGGACUUUUUUCCCAAGCAAAUACUCAGAAAGAGACUUCCUCCCAAUAGGCAUGAGAUCUUACUCCACGUGCAGUUUGUCUUAUCUUGAUUUUUUUCCAGUAAUCUUUUAAGAGUUUCCCAUGCCAUGUAGUCAUUCUUCAAAAACCCACUUUGAACAGCUGCGUAAUAUUCCGCUGUGGAGGAGUGCCCUGCAGUGUAGAGAAAUGAGUUAUUUACGCUGAAGUCUGUUAUUACAUGGACAUCUUCCCUUUUCUGACCCUGCAAUGACCACACUCAUAGGUGAGUCUCUCUGGAAAUCCUUGACUACCUCCUUAGGGUCCAUUCUUAGAAGUGGAAUUACUGGGUUAGAGGGCAUGAGUGCCUUGAGGGCGGCUGUCUCCCUCUACCUGCAUGCCUGCCAGGGCAAACCCGUGCAUGCUCCCAGGACAGGCCUGGCAGGGCGUGUCUCCCUGCUGCACCCUUGGUACCCUUGGCAGGGCUAACAUUAUCCUCUAAACCAGGUCUUUGCAGCACUUACCCUUUUCAAGGUGCUACUGUACCUCUCCUUUAAGGAG
Molecule: long non-coding RNA, 3428 nt
Filed under: Homo sapiens (human)
Lineage: Eukaryota; Metazoa; Chordata; Mammalia; Primates; Hominidae
Description: HSALNT0216211
Source: RNAcentral